CCCUGUUCCCGCCUCCCCAGUUAAGGCCGCUGGUGUGAGCCGAGGCUCAGCGCGAGCGAGGGACGACGGAAGGGACCGAUAGGUGUGGGCGCGGGGCCGCGCAGCCCGACGGCGGGAGUAGCAAGCACUCGGUGCAUGGGCCAGUGAAGACGCGCAGAGAUCCCUUUGCAGCGGCGGAGGCGGAGCAGCGCGGGAGCUAGGCGCUGCCCGGCGACCCUGCGUCCAAGCGAGCGAAACCUCGCGCUUCGCCCGGGGACGGUCCGAAGUCCGCGCUAUGGAAGAGGAGAAAUAUUUGCCUGAGCUGAUGGCAGAGAAAGAUAGCCUGGAUCCAUCUUUUGUGCAUGCAUCGCGCCUUUUGGCUGAAGAAAUUGAAAAAUUUCAAGGUUCUGAUGGAAAAAAGGAAGAUGAAGAAAAGAAAUAUCUUGAUGUCAUCAGCAACAAAAACAUAAAGCUCUCAGAAAGAGUAUUGAUUCCUGUCAAGCAAUAUCCAAAGUUCAAUUUUGUGGGGAAAUUGCUUGGACCAAGAGGAAACUCCUUGAAGAGGCUACAAGAAGAAACAGGUGCUAAAAUGUCUAUCCUGGGCAAAGGAUCGAUGAGAGAUAAAGCAAAGGAAGAAGAAUUAAGGAAGAGUGGGGAAGCCAAAUAUGCCCACUUGAGUGAUGAACUUCAUGUAUUAAUUGAAGUGUUUGCUCCUCCUGGGGAAGCUUAUUCACGUAUGAGUCAUGCAUUGGAAGAGAUUAAAAAAUUCCUGGUUCCCGACUACAAUGAUGAAAUUCGUCAGGAACAGUUACGUGAAUUAUCUUAUUUAAAUGGCUCAGAAGACUCUGGUCGUGGCAGAGGUAUCAGAGGCAGAGGGAUUCGAAUAGCUCCCACAGCUCCUUCAAGGGGCCGCGGGGGUGCCAUUCCUCCUCCCCCACCACCUGGACGAGGUGUUCUCACACCUCGUGGGACCACCGUGACCCGCGGAGCUCUUCCUGUGCCCCCGGUAGCAAGAGGCGUCCCCGCCCCUCGAGCCAGGGGGGCACCAACAGUGCCAGGAUACAGAGCACCCCCUCCUCCAGCCCAUGAGGCUUAUGAAGAAUAUGGGUAUGAUGAUGGCUAUGGGGGUGAAUACGAUGACCAGACCUAUGAGGCUUAUGAUAACAGCUAUGCCACUCAAACGCAAAGUGUGCCUGAAUACUAUGACUACGGUCAUGGAGUAAGUGAGGAUGCCUAUGACAGCUACGCACCAGAAGAAUGGGCCACAACCCGCUCCAGCUUAAAGGCACCACCGCCAAGGUCAGCCAGAGGGGGAUACAGGGAACACCCCUAUGGUAGAUAUUGAAGGUCCUCCUCACCUGUGACCUCACCUCAAAAGACAAUUCAUAGCCUGUGGUCUCCACAUAAACAGCAACAAGACAAGUACCCACAAGCAAGGAACACAUAAUUGAAUAGCAGAUGUGAUGGGCUAACAAGGAUGUGGAGACAGGUAUAGAAAACUUCAUUAGGAGCCUAAACAGAAAUGCUUAAGUGGAUGAAGCAGCUCUUUGCAUCAGAUGGAAGCUAAGCGGGAUAUUAAAUUAAUGUCAAACAAGUGAGAAACUCUUUUGCUUUUCUUUUACAUUGUAGCAAUUUAGCAGUAAUGUACUGAUUCUCAUAUAUACAUGAUUCUUGUGUCUAAUGUCACCAGAAUUUAAGGCCAUAAAGGAAAUCCCAAACAAAAAUCAACCAAUAAGGAAAUAUAUUUUGCUGAAAGAAUGGGGUAAAUGUCCAAACUAUUUCUGAUGAUAAGAAGAGUGAGGACCAAAAGUUCAUGGGAAGAAGAAAGAUCAAGCACCAUGCAUGAUGUAUCUUUAUAGAGCCUUUACAGAGCUAUUGUAGUCAUCUUUCCACGUUUUGCCUUUUGUAAUAGAGGAGAGUUCAGUUUUGUAGAAGAGGGCUGGUAUAUUUGGGGCAUCCAAUAAAUGUUUGUGAAACAACCAGAGCUGAAAUGGAACACAGUGGAGCAGAACAUGGUACCACAGAACCAUGAAUAUUCAUUCCCUCCUGAAAUUCUAAUUUGUUUUGCAACAAAAGAAGAUAUAAAUGUAUAGCUAAACAGAUGGUCAGUGACGUUGAUGAUUCAAAGGGGAUGUUUCUAUUUUCUUCUUUCUGUGCCCUUGUAUUAAAAAAUAACAUCUAAAGAAUACAGGUAAGGGGGUAUAUAUUUGUUUAAUGAGACAAGAAAUUGUGUAAGAUAUUUCAGAAAAUUUUUCCUAAAGUCCUUAAAUUUUUCUGAACAUUAAAUUGCAAUUCCCAGGAUCAAACCUUCAGAAAAAACUUAGGAAAGAUUUGAGAUAAGUGAAAAUAGGUUAUAAAUAAUGUAAAAACAAUAUCCCUUCUUCUAUUUUAUGUCUGAGAAGUUUGGAAGAAGUCAGCACCUUACUUUUGUGCUCACCUUGAGUCUGACCCAGAUUUAACAUCUUUCCAGACUCUUUCCAAGGAGGAUUAUUCUGUACAAUAUUGUACUUUGUUAG
Non-coding RNA from Ictidomys tridecemlineatus (thirteen-lined ground squirrel), 2495 nucleotides. The record is from RefSeq and is a predicted model, not a curated record. Lineage: Eukaryota; Metazoa; Chordata; Mammalia; Rodentia; Sciuridae.